RNAcentral lists this transfer RNA (96 nucleotides) under Actinomycetota bacterium. RNAcentral describes it as "tRNA-Sec". It matches the Rfam family "Selenocysteine transfer RNA". Lineage: Bacteria; Bacillati; Actinomycetota. The record is from RNAcentral.
GGAGGCGUCUGGGCGCCUGGUGGGCCCCGCGGGCUUCAACACCGACGUGAUCGAGUACCUCGGUCAGGCGGGUUCGAUUCCCGUCCGCCUCCGCCA